Molecule: ribosomal RNA, 863 nt
Filed under: Bacillus subtilis
Lineage: Bacteria; Bacillati; Bacillota; Bacilli; Caryophanales; Bacillaceae
Description: bacterial SSU rRNA
Rfam family: Bacterial small subunit ribosomal RNA
Source: RNAcentral
GCAGUCGAGCGGACAGAUGGGAGCUUGCUCCCUGAUGUUAGCGGCGGACGGGUGAGUAACACGUGGGUAACCUGCCUGUAAAACUGGGAUAACUCCGGGAAACCGGGGCUAAUACCGGAUGGUUGUUUGAACCGCAUGGUUCAAACAUAAAAGGUGGCUUCGGCUACCACUUACAGAUGGACCCGCGGCGCAUUAGCUAGUUGGUGAGGUAACGGCUCACCAAGGCAACGAUGCGUAGCCGACCUGAGAGGGUGAUCGGCCACACUGGGACUGAGACACGGCCCAGACUCCUACGGGAGGCAGCAGUAGGGAAUCUUCCGCAAUGGACGAAAGUCUGACGGAGCAACGCCGCGUGAGUGAUGAAGGUUUUCGGAUCGUAAAGCUCUGUUGUUAGGGAAGAACAAGUACCGUUCGAAUAGGGCGGUACCUUGACGGUACCUAACCAGAAAGCCACGGCUAACUACGUGCCAGCAGCCGCGGUAAUACGUAGGUGGCAAGCGUUGUCCGGAAUUAUUGGGCGUAAAGGGCUCGCAGGCGGUUUCUUAAGUCUGAUGUGAAAGCCCCCGGCUCAACCGGGGAGGGUCAUUGGAAACUGGGGAACUUGAGUGCAGAAGAGGAGAGUGGAAUUCCACGUGUAGCGGUGAAAUGCGUAGAGAUGUGGAGGAACACCAGUGGCGAAGGCGACUCUCUGGUCUGUAACUGACGCUGAGGAGCGAAAGCGUGGGGAGCGAACAGGAUUAGAUACCCUGGUAGUCCACGCCGUAAACGAUGAGUGCUAAGUGUUAGGGGGUUUCCGCCCCUUAGUGCUGCAGCUAACGCAUUAAGCACUCCGCCUGGGGAGUACGGUCGCAAGACUGAAACUC